GGCGGACGGGUGAGUAACGCGUGGGGAACCUGCCCCGUACCGGGGGAUAACACCUGGAAACAGGUGCUAAUACCGCAUAACAGAAGGGGACGCAUGUUCCUUUCUUGAAAACUCCGGUGGUACGGGAUGGACCCGCGUCUGAUUAGCUGGUUGGCGGGGUAACGGCCCACCAAGGCGACGAUCAGUAGCCGGCCUGAGAGGGCGGACGGCCACAUUGGGACUGAGACACGGCCCAAACUCCUACGGGAGGCAGCAGUGGGGAAUAUUGCACAAUGGGGGAAACCCUGAUGCAGCGACGCCGCGUGAGUGAAGAAGUAAUUCGUUAUGUAAAGCUCUAUCAGCAGGGAAGAAAAUGACGGUACCUGAGUAAGAAGCCCCGGCUAACUACGUGCCAGCAGCCGCGGUAAUACGUAGGGGGCAAGCGUUAUCCGGAUUUACUGGGUGUAAAGGGAGCGUAGACGGCGCUGCAAGUCCGGAGUGAAAGCCCAUGGCUUAACCAUGGUACUGCUCUGGAAACUGUGGAGCUUGAGUGCGGGAGGGGCAGGCGGAAUUCCUAGUG
This 559-nucleotide ribosomal RNA is filed under the name uncultured bacterium. RNAcentral's name for it is "bacterial SSU rRNA". It matches the Rfam family "Bacterial small subunit ribosomal RNA", at positions 97 to 675 of the family's 1533-position model. The record is from RNAcentral.